This 73-nucleotide transfer RNA is filed under the name Ailuropoda melanoleuca (giant panda). It matches the Rfam family "tRNA". Rfam says of the family: Transfer RNA (tRNA) molecules are approximately 80 nucleotides in length. The record is from Rfam by way of RNAcentral. Lineage: Eukaryota; Metazoa; Chordata; Mammalia; Carnivora; Ursidae.
ACCUGACUGGCUUAGCUGGUAGAGCACGUGUCUCUUGAUCUUGGAGCUGUGAGUUUGAGCCUCAUAUUGGGUG